CCUGGUGGCUAUGGCGAGGGGUAAAACACCCGAUCCCAUCCCGAACUCGGCCGUUAAAUUCCUUUGCGCCAAUGGUACUUUGUCUUAAGGCACGGGAGAGUAGGUCGUUGCCUGCU
RNAcentral lists this ribosomal RNA (116 nucleotides) under Hyphomicrobiales bacterium. Lineage: Bacteria; Pseudomonadati; Pseudomonadota; Alphaproteobacteria; Hyphomicrobiales. The record is from RNAcentral.